Molecule: ribosomal RNA, 993 nt
Filed under: Streptomyces mashuensis
Lineage: Bacteria; Bacillati; Actinomycetota; Actinomycetes; Kitasatosporales; Streptomycetaceae
Description: bacterial LSU rRNA
Rfam family: Bacterial large subunit ribosomal RNA
Source: RNAcentral
GAAACAGCUAUGACCAUCCUAAGGUAGCGAAAUUCCUUGUCGGGUAAGUUCCGACCUGCACGAAUGGCGUAACGACUUCUCGACUGUCUCAACCAUAGGCCCGGUGAAAUUGCACUACGAGUAAAGAUGCUCGUUUCGCGCACGAGGACGGAAAGACCCCGGGACCUUUACUACAGUUUGAUAUUGGUGUUCGGUUCGGCUUGUGUAGGAUAGCUGGGAGACUGUGAAGCAUGCACGCCAGUGUGUGUGGAGUCGUCGUUGAAAUACCAGUCUGGUCGUGCUGGAUGUCUAACCUGGGUCCGUGAUCCGGAUCAGGGACAGUGUCUGAUGGGUAGUUUAACUGGGGCGGUGGCCUCCUAAAGGGUAACGGAGGCGCCCAAAGGUUCCCUCAGCCUGGUUGGCAAUCAGGUGUUGAGUGUAAGUGCACAAGGGAGCUUGACUGUGAGACCGACGGGUCGAGCAGGGACGAAAGUCGGGACUAGUGAUCCGGCCGUGGCUUGUGGAAGCGCCGUCGCUCAACGGAUAAAAGGUACCCCGGGGAUAACAGGCUGAUCUUCCCCAAGAGUCCAUAUCGACGGGAUGGUUUGGCACCUCGAUGUCGGCUCGUCGCAUCCUGGGGCUGAAGUCGGUCCCAAGGGUUGGGCUGUUCGCCCAUUAAAGCGGUACGCGAGCUGGGUUUAGAACGUCGUGAGACAGUUCGGUCCCUAUCCGCUGUGCGCGUAGGAGUCUUGAGAAGGGCUGUCCCUAGUACGAGAGGACCGGGACGGACGAACCUCUGGUGUGCCAGUUGUUCUGCCAAGGGCAUGGCUGGUUGGCUACGUUCGGGAGGGAUAACCGCUGAAAGCAUCUAAGCGGGAAGCCUGCUUCGAGAUGAGGACUCCCACCCACUUGAUGGGGUAAGGCUCCCAGUAGACGACUGGGUUGAUAGGCCAGGUGUGGAAGACCGGUAACGGUUGGAGCUGACUGGUACUAAUAGGCCGAGGGCUUGUCCAU